Molecule: ribosomal RNA, 752 nt
Filed under: uncultured bacterium
Lineage: Bacteria
Description: bacterial SSU rRNA
Rfam family: Bacterial small subunit ribosomal RNA
Source: RNAcentral
UGAGUAACACGUGACUAGCCUACCUUCGAGUGGGGGAUAACCUCGGGAAACCGAGGCUAAUACCGCAUAACAUCGCAAGAUCAAAGCAGCAAUGCGCUGGAAGAGGGGGUCGCGGCUGAUUAGCUAGUUGGCGGGGUAACGGCCCACCAAGGCGAAGAUCGGUAUCCGGCCUGAGAGGGCGCACGGACACACUGGAACUGAAACACGGUCCAGACUCCUACGGGAGGCAGCAGUGGGGAAUUUUGCGCAAUGGGGGAAACCCUGACGCAGCAACGCCGCGUGGAGGAUGAAGCCCCUUGGGGCGUAAACUCCUUUCGACCAAGACGAUAAUGACGGUACUGGUGGAUGAAGCACCGGCUAACUCUGUGCCAGCAGCCGCGGUAAUACAGAGGGUGCGAGCGUUGUUCGGAAUUAUUGGGCGUAAAGGGCGCGUAGGCGGUGCCACAAGUCACUUGUGAAAUCCCCGGGCUUAACCCGGGGCCUGCAGGCGAAACUGUGGUGCUGGAGUAUGGGAGAGGUGCGUGGAAUUCCCGGUGUAGCGGUGAAAUGCGUAGAUAUCGGGAGGAACACCUGUGGCGAAAGCGGCGCACUGGACCAUAACUGACGCUGAGGCGCGAAAGCUUGGGGAGCAAACAGGAUUAGAUACCCUGGUAGUCCUAGCCCUAAACGAUGAUUGCUUGGUGUAGCAGGUACCCAAUCCUGCUGUGCCGCAGCUAACGCGAUAAGCAAUCCGCCUGGGGAGUACGGUCGCA